UAGGGAAUAUUGCACAAUGGGCGAAAGCCUGAUGCAGCAACGCCGCGUGCACGAUGAAGGCCUUCGGGUCGUAAAGUGCUUUUUGAGGAGACGAGGAAGGACGGUAUCCUCAGAAUAAGGAUCGGCUAACUACGUGCCAGCAGCCGCGGUAAAACGUAGGAUCCGAGCGUUAUCCGAAUUCACUGGGCGUAAAGCGCGUGCAGGCGGUUCGGUAAGUUGGAUGUAAAAUCUCCUGGCUCAACUAGGAGAGGACGUUCAAGACUGUCGGACUAGAGGACGGCAGAGGAAGGUGGAAUUCCCGGUGUAGUGGUGAAAUGCGUAGAUAUCGGGAGGAACACCAGUGGCGAAGGCGGCCUUCUGGGCCGUACCUGACGCUCAGACGCGAAAGCUAGGGGAGCAAACG
This 403-nucleotide ribosomal RNA is filed under the name uncultured Anaerolineaceae bacterium. Its description in RNAcentral is "partial 16S ribosomal RNA". It matches the Rfam family "Bacterial small subunit ribosomal RNA", at positions 355 to 774 of the family's 1533-position model. The record is from RNAcentral. Lineage: Bacteria; Bacillati; Chloroflexota; Anaerolineae; Anaerolineales; Anaerolineaceae.